This 77-nucleotide transfer RNA is filed under the name Kiritimatiellia bacterium. Its description in RNAcentral is "Kiritimatiellae bacterium (gut metagenome) tRNA-Arg". It matches the Rfam family "tRNA". From Rfam's summary of the family: Transfer RNA (tRNA) molecules are approximately 80 nucleotides in length. Their secondary structure includes four short double-helical elements and three loops (D, anti-codon, and T loops). Lineage: Bacteria; Pseudomonadati; Kiritimatiellota; Kiritimatiellia. The record is from RNAcentral.
GCACCCGUAGCUCAAUUGGAUAGAGCGUUGGUCUCCGGAGCCGAAGGUUGCGAGUUCAAUCCUCGCCGGGUGCACCA